RNAcentral lists this long non-coding RNA (357 nucleotides) under Lathyrus oleraceus (garden pea). Its description in RNAcentral is "Pisum sativum (pea) long non-coding RNA (PSAT_LNC030308)". Lineage: Eukaryota; Viridiplantae; Streptophyta; Magnoliopsida; Fabales; Fabaceae. The record is from RNAcentral.
UUUUAUUUCCUUUUCUUCUAAAAUUUAUAUUAAAUAGCUCCUUUAAUAUUUUUUAAUCUAGUUUUUUUCCAUAAUUCCAUAAAAAUAUUUUCUAUCACAUACCAUUUUUUUUUUUCAUUUUUUGAAGAAUCAUUUAAUUUUUGCAUUUAUUUCAUAUUUUCCAUUUAUUUCUCUUUUUGCAUUUUUAUUUUAAUCAUUUUAAAACAUUUUUUUACCCCAACUUUUGAGGUCAAACUUCUCAUAUUUUUUUUGACCUUCCGCAUUUUUCUUGGACCUUUAUUUGAUGCUUUGACCCCUCUUUGACAUUUUCUUUUUAUUUUCUUUAUUUAAUUAAUAUCAAAUCAUUUUUUAUUCAUU